RNAcentral lists this ribosomal RNA (463 nucleotides) under uncultured bacterium. Its description in RNAcentral is "partial 16S ribosomal RNA". It matches the Rfam family "Bacterial small subunit ribosomal RNA", at positions 28 to 507 of the family's 1533-position model. The record is from RNAcentral.
GACGAACGCUGGCGGCGUGCUUAACACAUGCAAGUCGAACGGUGAACCUCUUCGGAGGGGAUCAGUGGCGAACGGGUGAGUAACACGUGGGCAACCUGCCCCCGGCUCUGGGAUAACUCCAAGAAAUUGGGGCUAAUACCGGAUGUUCACCGCUUCCCGCAUGGGUGGUGGUGGAAAGGGUUUCCGGCUGGGGAUGGGCCCGCGGCCUAUCAGCUUGUUGGUGGGGUAGUGGCCUACCAAGGCGACGACGGGUAGCCGGCCUGAGAGGGUGACCGGCCACACUGGGACUGAGACACGGCCCAGACUCCUACGGGAGGCAGCAGUGGGGAAUAUUGCGCAAUGGGCGGAAGCCUGACGCAGCGACGCCGCGUGGGGGAUGACGGCCUUCGGGUUGUAAACCUCUUUCAGCAGGGACGAAGCGCAAGUGACGGUACCUGCAGAAGAAACACCGGCCAACUACGUG